Molecule: ribosomal RNA, 325 nt
Filed under: uncultured bacterium
Lineage: Bacteria
Description: bacterial SSU rRNA
Rfam family: Bacterial small subunit ribosomal RNA
Source: RNAcentral
UCAGGCCUAACACUGCAAGUCGAGGGGUAGCAGGAUUAAGCUUGCUUAAUUGCAAAAAACCGGCGCACGGGUGCGUAACGCGUAUGCAACCUACCUUAUACUGGGGUAUAGCCCGGAGAAAUUCGGAUUAAUCCCCCAUAGUACUAAUGAAUCGCAUGGUUGAUUAGUUAAAGCGUCAGCGGUAGAAGAUGGGCAUGCGUCCUAUUAGCUAGGUGUUGAGGUAACGGCUCACCAUGGCUGCGAUAGGUAGGGGGCCUGAGAGGGUGGUCCCCCACUCUGGGAAUGAGACACGGACCAGACUCCUACGGGAGGCAGCAGUGAGGAA